Molecule: ribosomal RNA, 301 nt
Filed under: uncultured bacterium
Lineage: Bacteria
Description: partial 16S ribosomal RNA
Rfam family: Bacterial small subunit ribosomal RNA
Source: RNAcentral
CAGCCGCCGCGGUAAUACGUAGGGUGCGAGCGUUAAUCGGAAUUACUGGGCGUAAAGCGUGCGUAGGUGGUGGUUUAAGUCCGUUGUGAAAGCCCUGGGCUCAACCUGGAAAUUGCAGUGGAUACUGGGUCACUAGAGUGUGGUAGAGGAUAGUGGAAUUUCCGGUGUAGCAGUGAAAUGCGUAGAGAUCGGAAGGAACAUCUGUGGCGAAGGCGACUAUCUGGGCAACACUGACGCUGAGGCACGAAAGCGUGGGGAGCAAACAGGAUUAGAUACCCCAGUAGUCCCUGUCUCUUAUACC